Transfer RNA from Thecamonas trahens ATCC 50062, 71 nucleotides. It matches the Rfam family "tRNA". Rfam says of the family: Transfer RNA (tRNA) molecules are approximately 80 nucleotides in length. The record is from Rfam. Lineage: Eukaryota; Apusomonadida; Apusomonadidae.
ACGCGCGUGGUACAGUGGCAGAAUUUCUGCCUUCCAAGCAGGAGCCCCGGGUUCGAUUCCCGGCGCGCGUA